This 274-nucleotide ribosomal RNA is filed under the name uncultured bacterium. Its description in RNAcentral is "partial 16S ribosomal RNA". It matches the Rfam family "Bacterial small subunit ribosomal RNA", at positions 523 to 796 of the family's 1533-position model. The record is from RNAcentral.
CUACGGAGGGUCCAAGCGUUAUCCGGAAUCAUUGGGUUUAAAGGGUUCGUAGGCGGGUCAAUAAGUCAGAGGUGAAAUCUUGCAGCUUAACUGUAAAAUUGCCUUUGAAACUGUUGACCUUGAAUUACUGUGAAGUGGUUAGAAUAUGUAGUGUAGCGGUGAAAUGCUUAGAGAUUACAUAGAAUACCGAUUGCGAAGGCAGAUCACUAACAGUAUAUUGACGCUGAUGAACGAAAGCGUGGGUAGCGAACGGGAUUAGAAACCCUGGUAGUCC